UAACGAAUCUUCCGCAAUGCACGAAAGUGUGACGGAGCGACGCCGCGUGGAGGACGAAGUUCUUCGGAAUGUAAACUCCUGUCAGGGGAAAGAAAGUUCUGAUCUACCCCAGAGGAAGAGGCGGCUAACUCAGUGCCAGCAGCCGCGGUAAUACAGAGGCCUCGAGCGUUAGACGGAAUCACUGGGCUUAAAGCGUGUGUAGGCGGAAGGGUGAGUACCUUGUGAAAUCCCACGGCUUAACCGUGGAACGGCUUGGUAUACUGCUUUUCUUGAGCAAUCUAGGGGCGAGUGGAACAGAUGGUGGAGCGGUGAAAUGCGUAGAUAUCAUCUGGAACGCCAAUGGUGAAGACAACUCGCUGGGGAUUUGCUGACGCUGAGACACGAAAGCCAGGGGAGCGAACGGGAUUAGAUACCCAUGUAGUCCCUGAGCGGGCUGGCAAGGCGCAU
This 447-nucleotide ribosomal RNA is filed under the name uncultured bacterium. RNAcentral describes it as "bacterial SSU rRNA". It matches the Rfam family "Bacterial small subunit ribosomal RNA", at positions 355 to 825 of the family's 1533-position model. The record is from RNAcentral.